AUUGAACGCUGGCGGCAGGCUUAACACAUGCAAGUCGAGCGGUAGCACAAGAGAGCUUGCUCUCUGGGUGACGAGCGGCGGACGGGUGAGUAAUGUCUGGGAAACUGCCUGAUGGAGGGGGAUAACUACUGGAAACGGUAGCUAAUACCGCAUAACGUCGCAAGACCAAAGAGGGGGACCUUCGGGCCUCUUGCCAUCAGAUGUGCCCAGAUGGGAUUUGCUAGUAGGUGGGGGAAUGGCUCACCUAGGCGACGAUCCCUAUCUGGUCUGAGAGGAUGACCAGCCACACUGGAACUGAGACACGGUCCAGACUCCUACGGGAGGCAGCAGUGGGGAAUAUUGCACAAUGGGCGCAAGCCUGAUGCAGCCAUGCCGCGUGUGUGAAGAAGGCCUUCGGGUUGUAAAGCACUUUCAGCGAGGAGGAAGGUGGUGAACUUAAUACGUUCAUCAAUUGACGUUACUCGCAGAAGAAGCACCGGCUAACUCCGUG
RNAcentral lists this ribosomal RNA (490 nucleotides) under uncultured bacterium. Its description in RNAcentral is "partial 16S ribosomal RNA". It matches the Rfam family "Bacterial small subunit ribosomal RNA", at positions 30 to 507 of the family's 1533-position model. The record is from RNAcentral.